CCUGAUCCAGCAAUGCCGCGUGUGUGAAGAAGGCCUUCGGGUUGUAAAGCACUUUUGUCCGGAAAGAAAUCCUUGGCUCUAAUACAGUCGGGGGAUGACGGUACCGGAAGAAUAAGCACCGGCUAACUACGUGCCAGCAGCCGCGGUAAUACGUAGGGUGCGAGCGUUAAUCGGAAUUACUGGGCGUAAAGCGUGCGCAGGCGGUUUGCUAAGACCGAUGUGAAAUCCCCGGGCUCAACCUGGGAACUGCAUUGGUGACUGGCAGGCUAGAGUAUGGCAGAGGGGGGUAGAAUUCCACGUGUAGCAGUGAAAUGCGUAGAGAUGUGGAGGAAUACCGAUGGCGAAGGCAGCCCCCUGGGCCAAUACUGACGCUCAUGCACGAAAGCGUGGGGAGCAAACAGGAUUAGAUACCCUGGUAGUCCACGCCCUAAACGAUGUCAACUAGUUGUUGGGGAUUCAUUUCCUUAGUAACGUAGCUAACGCGUGAAGUUGACCGCCUGGGGAGUACGGUCGCAAGAUUAAAACUCAAAGGAAUUGACGGGGACCCGCACAAGCGGUGGAUGAUGUGGAUUAAUUCGAUGCAACGCGAAAAACCUUACCUACCCUUGACAUGGUCGGAAUCCUGC
Molecule: ribosomal RNA, 626 nt
Filed under: Burkholderia sp. IBa249
Lineage: Bacteria; Pseudomonadati; Pseudomonadota; Betaproteobacteria; Burkholderiales; Burkholderiaceae
Also listed under: 1 other name
Description: bacterial SSU rRNA
Rfam family: Bacterial small subunit ribosomal RNA
Source: RNAcentral